AACGAACGCUGGCGGCGUGUUUAAGACAUGCAAGUCGCACGGAAGAUUUAUGGAGCUUGCUUUAUGGAUCUUUAGUGGCGCACGGGUGAGUAACACGUGAGUUACAUGCCCUGUAGAGGGGGAUAGCCCGGGGAAACUCGGAUUAAUACCCCAUGGUCCCGCAAGGGUAAAGGUGGCCGCAAGGCUGUCGCUGCAGGAUUGGCUCGCGUCCUAUCAGCUAGUUGGUGAGGUAACGGCUCACCAAGGCGACGACGGGUACCUGGUCUGAGAGGACGAUCAGGCACACUGGAACUGAGACACGGUCCAGACACCUACGGGUGGCAGCAGUCGAGAAUCAUUCACAAUGGGGGCAACCCUGAUGGUGCAACGCCGCGUGGAGGAUGAAGGUCUUCGGAUUGUAAACUCCUGUCAUCUGGGAGUAAGACCUGGCAGUGAAUAGCUGACAGGGUUGAUAGUACCAGAAGAGGAAGGGACGGCUAACUUCGUGCCAGCAGCCGC
This 498-nucleotide ribosomal RNA is filed under the name uncultured bacterium. Its description in RNAcentral is "bacterial SSU rRNA". It matches the Rfam family "Bacterial small subunit ribosomal RNA", at positions 29 to 518 of the family's 1533-position model. The record is from RNAcentral.